This 468-nucleotide ribosomal RNA is filed under the name uncultured bacterium. RNAcentral's name for it is "partial 16S ribosomal RNA". It matches the Rfam family "Bacterial small subunit ribosomal RNA", at positions 28 to 507 of the family's 1533-position model. The record is from RNAcentral.
GACGAACGCUGGCGGCGUGCUUAACACAUGCGAGUCGAACGGAAAGGCCCUGCUUUUGUGGGGUGCUCGAGUGGCGAACGGGUGAGUAACACGUGAGUAACCUGCCCUUGACUUUGGGAUAACUUCAGGAAACUGGGGCUAAUACCGGAUAGGAGCUCCUGCUGCAUGGUGGGGGUUGGAAAGUUUCGGCGGUUGGGGAUGGACUCGCGGCUUAUCAGCUUGUUGGUGGGGUAGUGGCUUACCAAGGCUUUGACGGGUAGCCGGCCUGAGAGGGUGACCGGCCACAUUGGGACUGAGAUACGGCCCAGACUCCUACGGGAGGCAGCAGUGGGGAAUAUUGCACAAUGGGCAGAAGCCUGAUGCAGCAACGCCGCGUGCGGGAUGACGGCCUUCGGGUUGUAAACCGCUUUCGCCUGUGACGAAGCGUGAGUGACGGUAAUGGGUAAAGAAGCACCGGCUAACUACGUG